UGCAGUCGAACGCUGAAGCCUGGUGCUUGCACCGGGUGGAUGAGUGGCGAACGGGUGAGUAACACGUGAGUAACCUGCCCCUGACUUCGGGAUAAGCCCGGGAAACUGGGUCUAAUACCGGAUACGACUGCCGGACGCAUGUCUGGUGGUGGAAAGUUUUUUCGGUUGGGGAUGGGCUCGCGGCCUAUCAGUUUGUUGGUGAGGUAAUGGCUCACCAAGACGACGACGGGUAGCCGGCCUGAGAGGGCGACCGGCCACACUGGGACUGAGACACGGCCCAGACUCCUACGGGAGGCAGCAGUGGGGAAUAUUGCACAAUGGGGGAAACCCUGAUGCAGCGACGCAGCGUGCGGGAUGACGGCCUUCGGGUUGUAAACCGCUUUCAGCAGGGAAGAAGCGCAAGUGACGGUACCUGCAGAAGAAGUACCGGCUAACUACGUGCCAGCAGCCGCGGUAAUACGUAGGGUACGAGCGUUGUCCGGAAUUAUUGGGCGUAAAGAGCUCGUAGGUGGUUGGUCACGUCUGCUGUGGAAACGCAACGCUUAACGUUGCGCGUGCAGUGGGUACGGGCUGACUAGAGUGCAGUAGGGGAGUCUGGAAUUCCUGGUGUAGCGGUGAAAUGCGCAGAUAUCAGGAGGAACACCGGUGGCGAAGGCGGGACUCUGGGCUGUAACUGACACUGAGGAGCGAAAGCAUGGGGAGCGAACAGGAUUAGAUACCCUGGUAGUCCAUGCCGUAAACGUUGGGCACUAGGUGUGGGGGGCAUUCCACGUUCUCCGCGCCGUAGCUAACGCAUUAAGUGCCCCGCCUGGGGAGUACGGUCGCAAGGCUAAAACUCAAAGGAAUUGACGGGGGCCCGCACAAGCGGCGGAGCAUGCGGAUUAAUUCGAUGCAACGCGAAGAACCUUACCAAGGCUUGACAUACACCGGACCGUCCUGGAAACAGGUCUUCUUCUUUGAAGCUGGUGUACAGGUGGUGCAUGGUUGUCGUCAGCUCGUGUCGUGAGAUGUUGGGUUAAGUCCCGCAACGAGCGCAACCCUCGUUCUAUGUUGCCAGCAUGUGAUGGUGGGAACUCAUAGGAGACUGCCGGGGUCAACUCGGAGGAAGGUGGGGAUGACGUCAAAUCAUCAUGCCCUUUAUGUCUUGGGCUUCACGCAUGCUACAAUGGCUGGUACAGAGAGAGGCGAACCCGUGAGGGCAAGCGAAUCCCUUAAAGCCAGUCUCAGUUCGGAUCGUAGUCUGCAAUUCGACUACGUGAAGUCGGAGUCGCUAGUAAUCGCAGAUC
Molecule: ribosomal RNA, 1286 nt
Filed under: Brevibacterium sp. LC652
Lineage: Bacteria; Bacillati; Actinomycetota; Actinomycetes; Micrococcales; Brevibacteriaceae
Description: bacterial SSU rRNA
Rfam family: Bacterial small subunit ribosomal RNA
Source: RNAcentral